RNAcentral lists this non-coding RNA (21 nucleotides) under Caenorhabditis elegans. Lineage: Eukaryota; Metazoa; Nematoda; Chromadorea; Rhabditida; Rhabditidae. The record is from RNAcentral.
UGUUUUCUGUAGUGAAGUUUU